GAUAAACGCUGGCGGCGUGCCUAACACAUGCAAGUCGAACGAUCCCGCAAGGGAGAGUGGCGGAAGGGUGAGUAACACGUGGGAAUCUACCUCCUCGCAGGGAACAACCUCUCGAAAGAGAGGCUAAUACCCAAAAGGGUCAGAAAUGAUCAGAGUCGAAAGGCGUGAGGAGAGGAGCCCGCGGCCCAUCAGCUAGUUGGUGAGGUAAUGGCUUACCAAGGCUACGACGGGUAGGGGAUCUGAGAGGAUGUCCCCCACACUGGAACUGAAACACAGUCCAGACGCCUACGGGUGGCAGCAGUGAGGAAUAUUGGACAAUGGGCGAAAGCCCGAUCCAGCAACGCCGCGUGGAGGAUGAAGGCCUUCGGGUCGUAAACUUCUUUAGAGGGAGACGAGAAAGGACGGUAUCCCUAGAAUAAGCGACGGCAAACUACGUGCCAGCAGCCGCGGU
Molecule: ribosomal RNA, 451 nt
Filed under: uncultured bacterium
Lineage: Bacteria
Description: bacterial SSU rRNA
Rfam family: Bacterial small subunit ribosomal RNA
Source: RNAcentral